Ailuropoda melanoleuca (giant panda) is the source of this 757-nucleotide long non-coding RNA. RefSeq lists it as uncharacterized. The record is from RefSeq and is a predicted model, not a curated record. The transcript has 2 exons. NCBI's taxonomy places the organism in Eukaryota, Metazoa, Chordata, Mammalia, Carnivora, Ursidae.
UACACCCAACGUGGGGCUUGAACCUACAACCCUGAGAUCAAGAGUCACACACUCCACUGACUGAGCCAGCCAGGUGCCCCUGGAAUGAGUUAUUCUAAGCUGAGGUUUUGGAUGUUUCUUUCUUCUUUGGGGGAUGUAGGUGGGGAGAGAGAGCCCUUUCAAUAAUACACAUUAACUUUUGCCAUAAAAUUAUUAGAAACAAUGAGUGUUUUUUUUCUUUUUCAGUGGACAAGGCCUUUGUAAUCGUGUCACACCUCUAAGAAGACCUCAGGGAAAAGAGUAGAUUUUGUGAAAAAAAAUUAGAAACUUCUGGAUGGAAAGAAAUAGAAUUGAUAGAGUAAAUAGACAAAUGACAAAUGGGGGAAAUUCUCCAACAUAUGAAAGACCAAGGGACAAUUCUUUAAUAUUCAGAGAGCUCUUAGAAAUGAAAGGGAAAGAGGCAAAAUGCUUUGUAGUGAAACUGACAAAGGACAUGAGCAGGCAGAUCACCGGAAAAGAAAGCCAAAUAGAUGAUUCCAACGUCUACACAGCAGCAGAAAUUCUGCCAGAUCUCAAAAACAGCCAGUUUGCUGUGCCACAAGUUUUCUCCAUCAGCAUUCCAGAAGAGCCAGCAAUGACAGCUGGUGUACUUCCGUUUAUGGUAUGGUGAGAAACAUGCAGCUCCCAUGGUUCGUGAACCAAACCCCACUCCAGCAAGCCCAUGUGUUCAUCCAGGGGAGUGGAAGACAGAGACAGUAGCCACCUGUCCCUGAGGAGG